UGGGGAAUUUUGGACAAUGGGCGAAAGCCUGAUCCAGCAAUGCCGCGUGUGUGAAGAAGGCCUUCGGGUUGUAAAGCACUUUUGUCCGGAAAGAAAUCCUUGGCUCUAAUACAGUCGGGGGAUGACGGUACCGGAAGAAUAAGCACCGGCUAACUACGUGCCAGCAGCCGCGGUAAUACGUAGGGUGCAAGCGUUAAUCGGAAUUACUGGGCGUAAAGCGUGCGCAGGCGGUUUGCUAAGACCGAUGUGAAAUCCCCGGGCUCAACCUGGGAACUGCAUUGGUGACUGGCAGGCUAGAGUAUGGCAGAGGGGGGUAGAAUUCCACGUGUAGCAGUGAAAUGCGUAGAGAUGUGGAGGAAUACCGAUGGCGAAGGCAGCCCCCUGGGCCAAUACUGACGCUCAUGCACGAAAGCGUGGGGAGCAAACAGGAUUAGAUACCCUGGUAGUCCACGCCCUAAACGAUGUCAGCUAGUUGUUGGGGAUUCAUUUCUAGUAACGUAGCUAACGCGUGAAGUUGACCGCCUGGGGAGUACGGUCGCAAGAUUAAAACUUAAAGGAAUUGACGGGGUCAUAGCUGUUUCCU
RNAcentral lists this ribosomal RNA (583 nucleotides) under uncultured bacterium. RNAcentral describes it as "partial 16S ribosomal RNA". It matches the Rfam family "Bacterial small subunit ribosomal RNA", at positions 355 to 1375 of the family's 1533-position model. The record is from RNAcentral.